AUUAAUAACCUGGGUCGAGAACCCAAAAUAUUGAA
This 35-nucleotide non-coding RNA is filed under the name unclassified sequences. RNAcentral's name for it is "S16-Flavobacteria ribosomal protein leader". It matches the Rfam family "S16-Flavobacteria ribosomal protein leader". The record is from RNAcentral.